UCUUUUGUUCUGAAGCAUUCUUCUAUUUGUGUUCCUAAGGAUCUCUAAAGACUCAAAUUGUCUUCUGGGAAGAACCUCCUAUGACCUUUGAGAAUAUUAUCUUUAAAGAGGAUCUUGCAUGAGACUGAAUAGUUCUGAUUCUCAAAUUGCAUGGUGGACAUGUGUUAAGAGGUGUAGACAGAAAGUAGUUGUCUUUCUCAUUAGAGUAACCCAAGCUAAAGGAAUGUUAUAUAUUUAAUUUACUCUGCCUUUCCCUCCCCUAAACAGCAUGCUAAACACUGAAAGCACAUGUCCUAUGUGUUCAGAAAGAUUAAACGCUGCUCAGCUGAAAAAGAUUUCAGACUGUACCCAGUACCUGCGAACGGAGGAGGAACUGUGAGUGGCACGUGCAGAUACAAUGCUCCUGAGAAGACAGCAUUUUCCACAGAAGGCUGUUUCCUCCCCUGGUGGAUUUAAGAGACGGUCCUUUCUGGAUACAGAGAAAUGAAACAACGGUGACCUCUCCAGGUCGGCACUUUCCGCUUCUGUACGGUGGCAAAACG
RNAcentral lists this small RNA (542 nucleotides) under Pan troglodytes (chimpanzee). RNAcentral describes it as "retained intron". Lineage: Eukaryota; Metazoa; Chordata; Mammalia; Primates; Hominidae. The record is from RNAcentral.